Molecule: ribosomal RNA, 442 nt
Filed under: uncultured bacterium
Lineage: Bacteria
Description: partial 16S ribosomal RNA
Rfam family: Bacterial small subunit ribosomal RNA
Source: RNAcentral
CCUACGGGAGGCAGCAGUGGGGAAUAUUGGGCAAUGGGCGCAAGCCUGACCCAGCAACGCCGCGUGAAGGAAGAAGGCUUUCGGGUUGUAAACUUCUUUUAAGAGGGAAGAGCAGAAGACGGUACCUCUUGAAUAAGUCACGGCUAACUACGUGCCAGCAGCCGCGGUAAUAGGUAGGUGGCAAGCGUUGUCCGGAUUUACUGGGGGUAAAGGGCGUGUAGCCGGGCUGAAAAGUCAGAGGUGAAAUUCCGGGGCUCAAACCGGGACCUGCAUUUGAAACUGCUGGUCUUGAGUAUCGGAGAGGCAGGCGGAAUUCCUAGUGUAGCGGUGAAAUGCGUAGAUAUUAGGAGGAACACCAGUGGCGAAGGCGGCCUGCUGGACGACUACUGACGGUGAGGCGCGAAAGCGUGGGGAGCAAAUAGGAUUAGAUACCCUUGUAGUC